This 492-nucleotide ribosomal RNA is filed under the name uncultured bacterium. RNAcentral describes it as "partial 16S ribosomal RNA". It matches the Rfam family "Bacterial small subunit ribosomal RNA", at positions 29 to 507 of the family's 1533-position model. The record is from RNAcentral.
AGUGAACGCUGGCGGUAGGCCUAACACAUGCAAGUCGAACGGCAGAAGAGAAAGAGCUCGUUCUUACGGGUGGCGAGGGGUGAGUAGUUGCGAAGAAUCUGGGAAUUUGUGUUGUAGAGCGGGAGAAAGCAGGGACUAUUACGGUAAUAGUGCAUAGGAAGUAAGGGUGGAAGCAGCGGACCUUAGGCUAUCGGAUGAGCGUAUGUCGCGAGGUCGGAUUAGCUAGUUGAAGGGGUAAAGGCCCACCAAGGCGACGAUCCGUAGCUGGUCUGAGAGGAUGAUCAGCCACACUGGAACUGAGACACGGUCCAGACUCCUACGGGAGGCAGCAGUGGGGAAUAUUGGACAAUGGGCGCAAGCCUGAUCCAGCCAUACCGCGUGUGUGAAGAAGGUCUUCGGGUUGUAAAGCACUUUUGUUGGGAAAGAAAAGCAGCAAGUUAAUACCCCGCUGUUCUGACGGUACCCAAAGAAUAAGCACCGGCUAACUUCGUG